This is a small nuclear RNA of Sorex fumeus (smoky shrew), 104 nucleotides long. NCBI's taxonomy places the organism in Eukaryota, Metazoa, Chordata, Mammalia, Eulipotyphla, Soricidae. The record is from RefSeq and is a predicted model, not a curated record.
UUGCUUUGGCAGCACAUAUACUAAAAUCGGAAUGAUACAGAGAAGAUUAGCAUGGCCCCUGAGCAAAGAUGACAAAUAUAUGUAUUUAUAUAAAAUGUAUUUAU